Molecule: ribosomal RNA, 253 nt
Filed under: uncultured bacterium
Lineage: Bacteria
Description: partial 16S ribosomal RNA
Rfam family: Bacterial small subunit ribosomal RNA
Source: RNAcentral
UACAUGGGGUGCAAACGUUGCUCGGAAUUACUGGGCGUAAAGCGUGCGCAGGCGGUUUGCUAAGACAGGUGUGAAAUCCCCGGGCUUAACCUGGGAACUGCGCUUGUUACUGGCAAGCUGGAGUGUGGCAGAGGGGGGUGGAAUUCCACGUGUAGCAGUGAAAUGCGUAGAGAUGUGGAGGAACACCGAUGGCGAAGGCAGCCCCCUGGGCUAACACUGACGCUCAUGCACGAAAGCGUGGGGAGCAAACAGG